AUACGGAGGGAGCUAGCGUUGUUCGGAAUUACUGGGCGUAAAGCGCGCGUAGGCGGUCCAUCAAGUCAGAGGUGAAAGCCCGGGGCUCAACCCCGGAACUGCCUUUGAAACUAGCGGACUAGAAUCUUGGAGAGGUCAGUGGAAUUCCGAGUGUAGAGGUGAAAUUCGUAGAUAUUCGGAAGAACACCAGUGGAGAAGGCGACUGACUGGACAAGUAUUGACGCUGAGGUGCGAAAGCGUGGGGAGC
Molecule: ribosomal RNA, 247 nt
Filed under: uncultured bacterium
Lineage: Bacteria
Description: partial 16S ribosomal RNA
Rfam family: Bacterial small subunit ribosomal RNA
Source: RNAcentral